Molecule: long non-coding RNA, 562 nt
Organism: Mytilus californianus (California mussel)
Lineage: Eukaryota; Metazoa; Mollusca; Bivalvia; Mytilida; Mytilidae
Exons: 2
Source: RefSeq, a predicted model, not a curated record
CCAAAUUUGGGUCACCUGUGUUAAAACGCACGCCAAUGAAGCAUGGCCUUAUUGUAUACCUGUUUGCUAUUUUUUAAUGGUGGUCAGUCAAGUUCUUCGGACAGGUUUACACACCUAUUCAGGAAGAUUCAUCUACUUGAGGUUAUGGUGUGGAAGGAUGCCACACCCGUCAGAUCAUUAAUAAUUGAUAUUUUAAAUUUAACCCACAUGAGUUUGGCUGUUUUUUGUACAUAGUCAACAAUUCUGAGGUUCUAGCCUGCACCAGAGUAAUACUAUGCUACAAUGUUAAGGAGUGGAUCCUACAGUCAUAACAACAUACAAUGUAUCUACGUUUAUGGUUUGAAGCUGUUGUGCACGUUCUUUGUGUUCGUCCUACAAGACUAGCAUCUACGACGAUAUAUUCAACUAGACUGAACUGCAUCACCGUAUUUAAAGGAAAGUAAUUUGAACUGUGAACAGACAAAAAUCUCAGUGGUUAUUUGGGACAUUUUUGGAAUUUGAAUUAUAUGUAAUAAGUUUUUUUCUAAUUGAUUUUGUUUUGUUUAUUAAAUUAUUUAUUUAU